Molecule: ribosomal RNA, 253 nt
Filed under: uncultured bacterium
Lineage: Bacteria
Description: partial 16S ribosomal RNA
Rfam family: Bacterial small subunit ribosomal RNA
Source: RNAcentral
UACGUAGGUGGCAAGCGUUGUCCGGAUUUAUUGGGUUUAAAGGGUGCGUAGGCGGCUUUGUAAGUCAGUGGUGAAAUAUGGCAGCUCAACUGUCAAGGUGCCAUUGAUACUGCAGAGCUUGAGUACAGAUGAGGUAGGCGGAAUUGACGGUGUAGCGGUGAAAUGCUUAGAUAUCGGCAAGAACACCGAUAGCGAAGGCAGCUUACUAGGCUGUAACUGACGCUGAGGCACGAAAGUGUGGGGAGCAAACAGG